Maniola jurtina (meadow brown) is the source of this 313-nucleotide long non-coding RNA. RefSeq lists it as uncharacterized. The record is from RefSeq and is a predicted model, not a curated record. The transcript has 2 exons. Lineage: Eukaryota; Metazoa; Arthropoda; Insecta; Lepidoptera; Nymphalidae.
CUUUACUUCAUGUAAACAGUUAAAGUCAGUCGCGGCGCCGACAUUGGCGCUGCGACUGACUUUUCUACUGACCCUGUGUAAAUCAGCUCUUAUAUUCUGAGUAUUAGUAUAGUAUAGUAUAGGUACUAUGAAGCCAAUCGUCAUUAUACGCUCCAAAAGACUUAGCUGUUAAGCCGACCUGUUCACAUAAAGACAAAAAGCUGCAAUGCUCUGAAAUUAGUAUGAAUGACUUACAAUCUUUUCAUGAAUCUUUUUAUGCCGUAAAGGACAAAGUAAAAAAGGUUAGUUCAUAUUAAAACAUGUUAUAGCUGUG